AAAAAAACAUUUGAUGAUUAAAUUAAUUUAAUGCCAACUAAAUUCAUUUACUACGCCAUUCAAUAAAUAAAUAUGUAACCGACCGUCCCUAGAGCAAAUGGUAAAAGACUUAGUUGUUGGUAUUCGAGACCCAAAUUCGAAUCCUAGUUUAUUCAUAUUUUCAACUAAGUUUAUUUCUAAAUGAAAUAAACGAAGCGAGUAUCAUGUUAUUUUUCUCUAAAAAAAUAAUAAUAAAUAAAUAUGUACGUACAGAAAUAAGAUUUGAACCUGCAACCUGGCGUAAAUUAAUUAUA
RNAcentral lists this long non-coding RNA (293 nucleotides) under Ananas comosus (pineapple). RNAcentral describes it as "long non-coding RNA (ACOM_LNC016494)". Lineage: Eukaryota; Viridiplantae; Streptophyta; Magnoliopsida; Poales; Bromeliaceae. The record is from RNAcentral.